GGGCGGCUCUGCCCUCCCGCGGGGCUCCCGUGCGGCCCCGGCGGUGUGGCGUCACGGAGUGGGGCGUGACGUCACCGGCAUCCAGCGAGGGAAGGGGCGUGACGUCAGCAUGGCAGCGCACGCGUUCGUUGCUCGUUGUCUGCCCCCUCGGAGUGCGGCUGUCCGUCUUUUUGCUGUGGGGAUUUGGCUCCUGUCAGACGCCGCAAAGAAGCGUUUGUGCAGGUGUCAGGCCAGAUUCAUCCCUGCUUAUCCCCCCUGGGGCUAUGAAUAAAAGAGGGAAAACAAGAAUCGAAGUAAUGCCAAAAUGAAGGGUUUGAGCUGGCAAACGCUCAGGUUUGGGUUCUGCUUUCUCCAGAACGGGCCCUUUGUUUUUACAGCACUCUCACACAUAGUUACCAGCUUCAGUCUCGUUGCAAAGUGAAGCCUGAAGUCCCAUCCGCCCCCUUCCCCCCCCUCACACCACUGCAACUGAUGACACGUAUUGAAGAUGUAUGCAGGUUUUUGAUUGUUUUCCCAUGUAAUACAUCCCCUUCCAACUUCGGCCUUCAGCUGUACCGCUUCCCGCCAUCCUCCAACCGCCGUGUUGUCACGGUGCCGUGCCAUUGGGUUUUAGCAGUGUGUUUGUAGCGUGAGGAAGGGACGUGAGCUGGGAGAUGUGCGGGGUGCAGGCAGCCGCCUCAGACAGGAACACAAGAGGGCAGGGUAGCAUUAAUUGUUGUGCUUCCUGACGUCAGACUUUCCUUUGCACUGCGAGCAUUUUCUCCAUUUGUUAUCUGCCUGGAACUUCUUAGGCUUCCCUAGUGAAGUUUCCAUAGUACCCACAAACCUUUAUAGCCUAUGGUGUUGGUUUUGGUUUGUUUUUUUUUUUUUCUUUUUCCCAAUAAUAAUUCUCUCUUUUUUGUCUUUUUUUUUUUUUUUUUCAUCUGGGUACAUAAUUCAAGCAAAUUAUAUGUUCUCUACAGCUGCAGUUAUAGCAUCUCUAAAUUAGAAACCAGUCUUGAAAGCGUUACCCGUGUAAUUACAACACUUUCAAGAAAAAAACACAUGAAGUCUUAUAAGAAGUUUAACUUACAGUAAAUUUAAUUUUCACGCAUAUCUACAUUAAGCACUAAAAAAUCCAGAAAUCCGCAGUUAGCCAGUGCUCGUGGUAAUGAUGACUUGUCUAUAGGUUUGUAAUGUCCAGAAACAUGUUUAAAAAAUGGAGCUGUAAUCACAGAAUCAUUAAGAUUGUAAAAGACCUCUAAGAUCAUCCAGUCCAACCGUCAGCCCAUCACCGCCAUGCCUGCUAACCGUGUCCCUCAGAUCAACUAAUGUCAGGCUUAACAUGAUGUGGUAAAAUAUGUUCAGACAUAUAACCUUAACUCUGACCCCCAUCUUUUUCACAGGGAAAUGGAAACUCCAUGCCUGUAUGCAUUACUAUCUAAUGUUAGUUUACAGGAGAUGAGAUAGAAAGUCACCAAGUUCAGUGGAAGAGCAGGUACAAGUGGUCACAGUAAUAGCAGGAGGAGGGCUAAAGUCACUGACCUUCAAAGACAUAACCAUUCUGUUUUAAAAACAAUUUUUUUUAAAAGAGAGCUCUGGGGAAUAGCUAAAGCAACAACAGAAAACACAGAUCAUGCACGGUCAAUCAGGAAUCAUUAGCUGCUUUUUGUUGAGUUUUGAUACUCGAGUGUGUAUGCAAACAUCCCAGAAACAGAACAGAAAAGAACUAGAGCAUUAACAAAACUUGAGGCAUAAAACAGGUUCAAUGUGAUUUGACUAAGGAAAACCUUCAGGAGAGUUCUUGGGCAGCCUGGUCUGUUGGGUGGCAGCCUUUCCCAUGGCAGGGGGCUGCAAGUGGGUAAUCUUUAAGGUCUCUUCCAACCCAAGCCGUUCUGUGAGAGUUCAUUAAGAGCUAAGCUGUGUCUGGGAAGUGGAUUGGAAGCAUGUAUUAAAAAAAAAAUUACUUGGAUGAUCUGCUCUUGAACUGUCUCGCCUCAAAAAAUGCCUGAUGACAGAUCCCCCAUACACACGCAUUCCAGCUCAGGAAAAUAGAUCAUAGAAUCAUAGAAUCAUAGAAUGGUUUGUGUUGGAAGGGACCUCUAAGAUCAUCUAGUUCCAACCCCUGCUAUAGGCAGGGACACCUCCCUCUAGACCAGGUUGCUCAAAGCCCCAUCCAGCCUGACCUUGAACACCUCCAGGGAUGGGGCAUCCACACCCUCUCUGGGCAACGUGUUCCAGUGUCUUACCACCCUCACAGUAAAGAAUUUCUUCCUGGCAUCUAGUCUAAAUCUACCCUCUUCCAGUUUAAAGCCAUUUCCCCUCCUUCUGUCCCUACCUGCUCUUAUAAAACAUCCCUCCCCAGAUCAUUGACUAUCCCUGCUGAAAGGGGUCACACAAUGAGACAGUUGAAGAGUAAAACGUGAAAUAAGGAGAAAAAUGAAUAUGGAAGCCAGUGUACGUUGAAGAAAUGCACAUAACCUUUGUUGCAAUGGUUUUGUUUUGUUUUUAAAUAUGGAAUUUUUGUAUUUUCCACUGAGGGUAAAUUAAACAAGUUGUUGAUAAAUGAUGAAUAAUUGCACUGUUUAUUGCACAAGCCUGACUGACUCAGCUGCCUAGAGAAUGCCUGCUAAUCACUCUCUUGCAGAUCCAUUCCUAAUAUUCUGAAUCUGAGCUGCUUCUGACAAAUGGUUUGUGAAAUUUCGAAAAUGAUGGAGAAACGUAUUACUGGUUAGAGGGGUCAGAGGUCCAUAUACUUAUUGCUAUGUGGAAACAGAAACAAGGGCUUGACUGUUUGUUGUCCAGGAAAGGUUCUUAGAGUAGGGUGAAUGUAGAGUAGGCAUACAAUUAUACAUACUGCAUUGGUCUGCUUAGCUGUUGGCUUUCCUUUAAGGCAUUAAUGAUAUUCACGGUGCUGUUCAUUCCAUGUUACUGGCACAAGAACAACUAAACAUAUCUCAGGUUCCAUAAGACAUCAUGGCCAUUGUGCAUAAUCCAUAGCGUGAGGUCACCCUUCCUAUAAUGAUACGAAGCAGGAAUAGUCCCUUGCUCAUGUUACAGUACAAAUAGAAAGGUGGAGACUCAUAUUCAAGUACUGGAGGAAAGCCCAAACAUCCUGACUUUUUUGACCCAUGACAAUGCUGAUUAAGCGUCCAAGAAUGUGGGAUCAGUAGCCAAUAAUACCUCUCUCCCAGCUCAAAGCUGUUGUUUGCGCUAGUCAGGCAGGAGUGGUUUUCACUAGCCCACUUCAUCUUGUUCUAAAGCUCAGACAGACAAAAGUUCAUGAGCCUUUCAAUGUCACUACUACUUAAAUAAUUAAGUAAUAUUCUUCAAAGGGUAGGGGCAUAUUAUCUUUAGUAAGUACAUCACUGCCAGCUUCUUUGUGAAAGUAAGAUGUGCUUUGUUAGAAAGAAGACAAUGAUUCGAACUAUUCUUAUUUUAUCAACACUACUUCUCAGCUGCAGUCAAACUUCAGAGCCAAUCCUUGAUCAGUCCAAGAGGGCCACUCAAGCAAAAUCAUACCAUCCCUGGAAGAGUGUGCCAAACUUCAAAGGUUUUACUAUUUGUCUUUCUUCUUAAAUACAGACAAUAUAUUCUUCUUUACCAACAUUCACUUGUCUUUAGGCAGCUUUAUCCUCACAUCUGGAUUUUCGUUGCUGCUCUUCCCCUUUUCACUGCUGAUUUUUUUUAUCCAAAGCUUCGUAAAGAAGGUGCACGUAUCUAUGUGAUGGGAUUUAUUGACUGCACUGUACUAAAUCAUAUUGUAUUUCACAAUGUUUAGUGUAUCUAUAUCCAUCAAUGCUGUAAAAGUUUCAUUUGAUAUUAAAGAGUUAUUUCAGUCAUCAGUGUAGUGUUCUGAAUAAAUCUUCUAGUGUUCA
This 3857-nucleotide long non-coding RNA is filed under the name Gallus gallus (chicken). RNAcentral's name for it is "lncRNA (ENSGALG00010002156.1)". The record is from RNAcentral. Lineage: Eukaryota; Metazoa; Chordata; Aves; Galliformes; Phasianidae.